Molecule: ribosomal RNA, 2793 nt
Filed under: Escherichia coli
Lineage: Bacteria; Pseudomonadati; Pseudomonadota; Gammaproteobacteria; Enterobacterales; Enterobacteriaceae
Description: partial 23S ribosomal RNA
Rfam family: Bacterial large subunit ribosomal RNA
Source: RNAcentral
GGUUAAGCGACUAAGCGUACACGGUGGAUGCCCUGGCAGUCAGAGGCGAUGAAGGACGUGCUAAUCUGCGAUAAGCGUCGGUGAGGUGAUAUGAACCGUUAUAACCGGCGAUUUCCGAAUGGGGAAACCCAGUGUGUUUCGACACACUAUCAUUAACUGAAUCCAUAGGUUAAUGAGGCGAACCGGGGGAACUGAAACAUCUAAGUACCCCGAGGAAAAGAAAUCAACCGAGAUUCCCCCAGUAGCGGCGAGCGAACGGGGAGGAGCCCAGAGCCUGAAUCAGUGUGUGUGUUAGUGGAAGCGUCUGGAAAGGCGCGCGAUACAGGGUGACAGCCCCGUACACAAAAAUGCACAUAUUGUGAGCUCGAUGAGUAGGGCGGGACACGUGGUAUCCUGUCUGAAUAUGGGGGGACCAUCCUCCAAGGCUAAAUACUCCUGACUGACCGAUAGUGAACCAGUACCGUGAGGGAAAGGCGAAAAGAACCCCGGCGAGGGGAGUGAAAAAGAACCUGAAACCGUGUACGUACAAGCAGUGGGAGCCUCUUUAUGGGGUGACUGCGUACCUUUUGUAUAAUGGGUCAGCGACUUAUAUUCUGUAGCAAGGUUAACCGAAUAGGGGAGCCGAAGGGAAACCGAGUCUUAACUGGGCGUUAAGUUGCAGGGUAUAGACCCGAAACCCGGUGAUCUAGCCAUGGGCAGGUUGAAGGUUGGGUAACACUAACUGGAGGACCGAACCGACUAAUGUUGAAAAAUUAGCGGAUGACUUGUGGCUGGGGGUGAAAGGCCAAUCAAACCGGGAGAUAGCUGGUUCUCCCCGAAAGCUAUUUAGGUAGCGCCUCGUGAAUUCAUCUCCGGGGGUAGAGCACUGUUUCGGCAAGGGGGUCAUCCCGACUUACCAACCCGAUGCAAACUGCGAAUACCGGAGAAUGUUAUCACGGGAGACACACGGCGGGUGCUAACGUCCGUCGUGAAGAGGGAAACAACCCAGACCGCCAGCUAAGGUCCCAAAGUCAUGGUUAAGUGGGAAACGAUGUGGGAAGGCCCAGACAGCCAGGAUGUUGGCUUAGAAGCAGCCAUCAUUUAAAGAAAGCGUAAUAGCUCACUGGUCGAGUCGGCCUGCGCGGAAGAUGUAACGGGGCUAAACCAUGCACCGAAGCUGCGGCAGCGACACUAUGUGUUGUUGGGUAGGGGAGCGUUCUGUAAGCCUGUGAAGGUGGCCUGUGAGGGUUGCUGGAGGUAUCAGAAGUGCGAAUGCUGACAUAAGUAACGAUAAAGCGGGUGAAAAGCCCGCUCGCCGGAAGACCAAGGGUUCCUGUCCAACGUUAAUCGGGGCAGGGUGAGUCGACCCCUAAGGCGAGGCCGAAAGGCGUAGUCGAUGGGAAACAGGUUAAUAUUCCUGUACUUGGUGUUACUGCGAAGGGGGGACGGAGAAGGCUAUGUUGGCCGGGCGACGGUUGUCCCGGUUUAAGCGUGUAGGCUGGUUUUCCAGGCAAAUCCGGAAAACCAAGGCUGAGGCGUGAUGACGAGGCACUACGGUGCUGAAGCGACAAAUGCCCUGCUUCCAGGAAAAGCCUCUAAGCAUCAGGUAACAUCAAAUCGUACCCCAAACCGACACAGGUGGUCAGGUAGAGAAUACCAAGGCGCUUGAGAGAACUCGGGUGAAGGAACUAGGCAAAAUGGUGCCGUAACUUCGGGAGAAGGCACGCUGAUAUGUAGGUGAAGCGACUUGCUCGUGGAGCUGAAAUCAGUCGAAGAUACCAGCUGGCUGCAACUGUUUAUUAAAAACACAGCACUGUGCAAACACGAAAGUGGACGUAUACGGUGUGACGCCUGCCCGGUGCCGGAAGGUUAAUUGAUGGGGUUAGCGGUAACGCGAAGCUCUUGAUCGAAGCCCCGGUAAACGGCGGCCGUAACUAUAACGGUCCUAAGGUAGCGAAAUUCCUUGUCGGGUAAGUUCCGACCUGCACGAAUGGCGUAAUGAUGGCCAGGCUGUCUCCACCCGAGACUCAGUGAAAUUGAACUCGCUGUGAAGAUGCAGUGUACCCGCGGCAAGACGGAAAGACCCCGUGAACCUUUACUAUAGCUUGACACUGAACAUUGAGCCUUGAUGUGUAGGAUAGGUGGGAGGCUUUGAAGUGUGGACGCCAGUCUGCAUGGAGCCGACCUUGAAAUACCACCCUUUAAUGUUUGAUGUUCUAACGUUGGCCCGUAAUCCGGGUUGCGGACAGUGUCUGGUGGGUAGUUUGACUGGGGCGGUCUCCUCCUAAAGAGUAACGGAGGAGCACGAAGGUUGGCUAAUCCUGGUCGGACAUCAGGAGGUUAGUGCAAUGGCAUAAGCCAGCUUGACUGCGAGCGUGACGGCGCGAGCAGGUGCGAAAGCAGGUCAUAGUGAUCCGGUGGUUCUGAAUGGAAGGGCCAUCGCUCAACGGAUAAAAGGUACUCCGGGGAUAACAGGCUGAUACCGCCCAAGAGUUCAUAUCGACGGCGGUGUUUGGCACCUCGAUGUCGGCUCAUCACAUCCUGGGGCUGAAGUAGGUCCCAAGGGUAUGGCUGUUCGCCAUUUAAAGUGGUACGCGAGCUGGGUUUAGAACGUCGUGAGACAGUUCGGUCCCUAUCUGCCGUGGGCGCUGGAGAACUGAGGGGGGCUGCUCCUAGUACGAGAGGACCGGAGUGGACGCAUCACUGGUGUUCGGGUUGUCAUGCCAAUGGCACUGCCCGGUAGCUAAAUGCGGAAGAGAUAAGUGCUGAAAGCAUCUAAGCACGAAACUUGCCCCGAGAUGAGUUCUCCCUGAC